UUGGAGGGCAAGUCUGGUGCCAGCAGCCGCGGUAAUUCCAGCUCCAAUAGCGUAUAUUAAAGCUGUUGCAGUUAAAAAGCUCGUAGUUGAAUUUCGGGAUCAAUUUAUCGGUCGUGCCUACGGUAUGAACUGGUACAAUUGGUUUCUCCCUUCUGACGAAGCAUGAUGUCAUUAAUUUGGUGUCGUGGGGAAUCAGGACUGUUACUUUGAAAAAAUUAGAGUGUUUAAAGCAAGCAUUAGCUUGAAUACAUUAGCAUGGAAUAAUGAAAUAGGACGUUUGAUCCUAUUUCGUUGGUUUCUAGGAUCGACGUAAUGAUUAAUAGGGAUAGUUGGGGGCAUUAGUAUUCAAUUGUCAGAGGUGAAAUUCUUGGAUUUAUUGAAGACUAACUACUGCGAAAGCAUUUGCCAAGGAUGUUUUCAUUAAUCAAGAACGAAAGUUAGGGGAUCGAAGACGAUCAGAUACCGUCGUAGUCUUAACCAUAAACUAUGCCGACUAGGGAUCGGAUGAUGUUAAUUUUUUAAUGACUCAUUCGGCGCCUUACGGGAAAC
RNAcentral lists this ribosomal RNA (549 nucleotides) under uncultured Glomeromycotina. RNAcentral's name for it is "SSU rRNA". It matches the Rfam family "Eukaryotic small subunit ribosomal RNA", at positions 548 to 1098 of the family's 1831-position model. Lineage: Eukaryota; Fungi; Glomeromycota. The record is from RNAcentral.